UGCAUGCAACGAGUUUUUUUUCCUGGGUCGAGAGGCCCGGGUAAUCUGUUGAACGUGCAUCGUGAUAGGGAUAGAUCAUUGCAAUUAUUGAUCUUGAACGAGGAAUUCCUAGUAAACGCGAGUCAUCAGCUCGCAUUGAUUACGUCCCUGCCCUUUGUACACACCGCCCGUCGCACCUACCGAUUGAAUCAUUCGGUGAGGAUUCCGGAUUCCGUUGCUUACGCUUCACGGCGUUUUUGAUGAAAAAAGUUAUCCAAACCUCAUGAUUUAGAGGAAGGUGAAGUCGUAACAAGGUUUCCGUAGGUGAACCUGCGGAAGGAUCA
This 323-nucleotide ribosomal RNA is filed under the name Myriotrichia clavaeformis. RNAcentral describes it as "Myriotrichia claviformis nuclear SSU rRNA". It matches the Rfam family "Eukaryotic small subunit ribosomal RNA", at positions 1507 to 1828 of the family's 1831-position model. Lineage: Eukaryota; Phaeophyceae; Ectocarpales; Chordariaceae. The record is from RNAcentral.